CAGCUUACACAUGCAGUCGAGGGGUAUAGAAGGCUUACUUUCUAGAGACCGGCAAACGGGUGCGGAACACGUACACAACCUACCUUUAUCAGGGGAAUAGCCCAGAGAAAUUUGGAUUAAUGCCCCAUAGUAUAUUUUGAUGGCAUCAUUAGAAUAUUAAAGAACUUCGGAUAGAGAUGGGUGUGCGUAAGAUUAGCUAGUUGGUAAGGUAACGGCUUACCAAGGCGACGAUCUUUAGCUGAUGCGAGAGCAUGAUCAGCCACACGGGCACUGAGACACGGGCCCGACUCCUACGGGAGGCAGCAGUGAGGAAUAUUGGUCAAUGGACGGAAGUCUGAACCAGCCAUGCCGCGUGAAGGAUGAAGGCGUUCUGCGUUGUAAACUUCUUUUAUCUGAGAAGAAACCACCGAUUUCUAUUGGUGUUGACGGUAUCAGAUGAGUAAGCACCGGCUAACUCCGUGCCAGCAGCCGCGGUAAUACGGAGGGUGCAAGCGUUAUCCGGAUUUACUGGGUUUAAAGGGUGUGUAGGCGGACUUAUAAGUCAGGGGUGAAAUCUCCGAGCUCAACUCGGAAACUGCCUUUGAUACUAUUAGUCUUGAAUUAUGUUGAGGUUGGCGGAAUAUAACAUGUAGCGGUGAAAUGCAUAGAUAUGUUAUAGAACACCGAUUGCGAAGGCAGCUGGCUAAACAUAUAUUGACGCUGAGGCACGAAAGCGUGGGUAGCGAACAGGAUUAGAU
Molecule: ribosomal RNA, 737 nt
Filed under: uncultured bacterium
Lineage: Bacteria
Description: bacterial SSU rRNA
Rfam family: Bacterial small subunit ribosomal RNA
Source: RNAcentral